GACGAACGCUGGCGGCGUGCUUAACACAUGCAAGUCGAACGAUGAAGCCUAGCUUGCUAGGUGGAUUAGUGGCGAACGGGUGAGUAAUACGUGAGUAACCUACCUUUAACUCUGGGAUAAGCCUGGGAUACUGGGUCUAAUACCGGAUACGACCAAUCUCCGCAUGGGGUGUUGGUGGAAAGCGUUAUGUAGUGGUUAUAGAUGGGCUCACGGCCUAUCAGCUUGUUGGUGAGGUAACGGCUCACCAAGGCGACGACGGGUAGCCGGCCUGAGAGGGUGACCGGCCACACUGGGACUGAGACACGGCCCAGACUCCUACGGGAGGCAGCAGUGGGGAAUAUUGCACAAUGGGCGCAAGCCUGAUGCAGCGACGCCGCGUGAGGGAUGACGGCCUUCGGGUUGUAAACCUCUGUUAGCAGGGAAGAAGAGAGAUUGACGGUACCUGCAGAGAAAGCGCCGGCUAACUACGUG
RNAcentral lists this ribosomal RNA (471 nucleotides) under uncultured bacterium. RNAcentral's name for it is "partial 16S ribosomal RNA". It matches the Rfam family "Bacterial small subunit ribosomal RNA", at positions 28 to 507 of the family's 1533-position model. The record is from RNAcentral.